AUGUGUGUUCCGAAGAAGAAGGGAGGUAUGGGAUUUAGAGACCUUCAUAGCUUUAACCUUGCUAUGUUAGCAAAGCAGUGUUGGCGACUGAUCCAGAAUCCUGACUCUUUGUGUGCACGUGUUCUAGCAAAAUACUAUCCUGAUGGUAAUAUUCUGAGAGCUGGCUCAAAGAAAGGCUCCUCGUUUACAUGGCAAAGUUUGGUUGCUGGGAUACAAACUUUC
This 222-nucleotide ribosomal RNA is filed under the name Triticum aestivum (bread wheat). RNAcentral's name for it is "partial small subunit ribosomal RNA". Lineage: Eukaryota; Viridiplantae; Streptophyta; Magnoliopsida; Poales; Poaceae. The record is from RNAcentral.